AACGCACAUUGCGCCCCUUGGUAUUCCGAGGGGCAUGCCUGUUCGAGCGUCAUUUCAAACCUCAAGCUCGCGCUUGGUGUUGGGCGUCGUCCGCCAGGACGUGCCCGAAACCCGUAGGCAGUGGUGCCCGCCUCCCAGCGUAGUCAAGUUACCCGCUUCGGAGCGCGCGGUGCCGCCCGCCAGACGAACAACCCACUAUCUUCUAUGGUUUGACCUCGGAUCAGGUAGGGAUACCCGCUGAACUUAA
This 247-nucleotide unclassified non-coding RNA is filed under the name uncultured fungus. RNAcentral's name for it is "sequence contains ITS2". The stretch from base 1 to 52 matches the Rfam family "5.8S ribosomal RNA", at positions 103 to 154 of the family's 154-position model. The record is from RNAcentral. Lineage: Eukaryota; Fungi.